CAUAAGCUCGCCUGACUGCGAGACUGACAAGUCGAGCAGAGACGAAAGUCGGCCAUAGUGAUCCGGUGGUCCCGAGUGGAAGGGCCAUCGCUCAACGGAUAAAAGGUACUCUAGGGAUAACAGGCUGAUUUUGCCCAAGAGUCCAUAUCGACGGCAAAGUUUGGCACCUCGAUGUCGGCUCAUCACAUCCUGGGGCUGGAGCAGGUCCCAAGGGUAUGGCUGUUCGCCAUUUAAAGU
RNAcentral lists this ribosomal RNA (237 nucleotides) under Staphylococcus aureus. RNAcentral's name for it is "partial 23S ribosomal RNA". It matches the Rfam family "Bacterial large subunit ribosomal RNA", at positions 2358 to 2594 of the family's 2925-position model. The record is from RNAcentral. Lineage: Bacteria; Bacillati; Bacillota; Bacilli; Caryophanales; Staphylococcaceae.